AGCCGCCGCAACCGGCCGGCACCGCGGCCGGCGCGCUCGAGGCGGGCCCACAGCAGGGCGAGGUGGCGGUGGAGAUCGCCGCCACAGGCGGUUUC
This 95-nucleotide transfer RNA is filed under the name bacterium HR40. Its description in RNAcentral is "tRNA-Ser". The record is from RNAcentral.